This 75-nucleotide transfer RNA is filed under the name Neisseriales bacterium. RNAcentral's name for it is "tRNA-Val". It matches the Rfam family "tRNA". From Rfam's summary of the family: Transfer RNA (tRNA) molecules are approximately 80 nucleotides in length. The record is from RNAcentral. Lineage: Bacteria; Pseudomonadati; Pseudomonadota; Betaproteobacteria; Neisseriales.
GGGUGGUUAGCUCAGUGGUGGAGCGCUGCCUUCACAUGGCAGAGGUCACUGGUUCAAAUCCAGUACUACCCACCA